Molecule: ribosomal RNA, 429 nt
Filed under: uncultured bacterium
Lineage: Bacteria
Description: bacterial SSU rRNA
Rfam family: Bacterial small subunit ribosomal RNA
Source: RNAcentral
UCGGGAAUUUUGGGCAAUGGGCGAAAGCCUGACCCAGCAACGCCGCGUGAAGGAUGAAGUAUUUCGGUAUGUAAACUUCGAAAGAAUAGGAAGAAUAAAUGACGGUACUAUUUAUAAGGUCCGGCUAACUACGUGCCAGCAGCCGCGGUAAUACGUAGGGACCAAGCGUUGUUCGGAUUUACUGGGCGUAAAGGGCGCGUAGGCGGCAUGACAAGUCACUUGUGAAAUCUCUGGGCUUAACCCAGAACGGCCAAGUGAUACUGUCGCGCUAGAGUGCAGAAGGGGCAAUCGGAAUUCUUGGUGUAGCGGUGAAAUGCGUAGAUAUCAAGAGGAACACCUGAGGUGAAGACGGGUUGCUGGGCUGACACUGACGCUGAGGCGCGAAAGCCAGGGGAGCAAACGGGAUUAGAUACCCAUGUAGUCCCUGAG